This 460-nucleotide ribosomal RNA is filed under the name uncultured bacterium. Its description in RNAcentral is "partial 16S ribosomal RNA". It matches the Rfam family "Bacterial small subunit ribosomal RNA", at positions 338 to 795 of the family's 1533-position model. The record is from RNAcentral.
CCUACGGGCGGCAGCAGUGAGGACUAUUGGUCAAUGGACGAGAGUCUGAACCAGCCAAGUAGCGUGAAGGAUGACUGCCCUAUGGGUUGUAAACUUCUUUUAUAUGGGAAUAAAAUGUUCCACGUGUGGGAUUUUGUAUGUACCAUAUGAAUAAGGAUCGGCUAACUCCGUGCCAGCAGCCGCGGUAAUACGGAGGAUCCGAGCGUUAUCCGGAUUUAUUGGGUUUAAAGGGAGCGUAGGUGGAUUGUUAAGUCAGUUGUGAAAGUUUGCGGCUCAACCGUAAAAUUGCAGUUGAAACUGGCAGUCUUGAGUACAGUAGAGGUGGGCGGAAUUCGUGGUGUAGCGGUGAAAUGCUUAGAUAGCACGAAGAACUCCGAUUGCGAAGGCAGUUCACUGGACUGCAACUGACACUGAGGCUCGAAAGUGUGGGUAUCAAACAGGAUUAGAUACCCGUGUAGUC